Sebastes umbrosus (honeycomb rockfish) is the source of this 156-nucleotide long non-coding RNA. RefSeq lists it as uncharacterized. Lineage: Eukaryota; Metazoa; Chordata; Actinopteri; Perciformes; Sebastidae. The transcript has 3 exons. The record is from RefSeq and is a predicted model, not a curated record.
UUGUGAUAUUAUUUUUAUUUGAUAUUUGGGUAGCUGGUUUUGCCACACCUGAUGUGUUUAGUUUAUGCUUCACAUAGACAAGGUCUUGCAUGCAAACUAACCAUCUUUUCUAACCCACUGCAUUAUCUGACACACAUUAAGAUCAAAUACAUAAAC